CAAGCAGACGUGUCAACUUCUUGCACGCAAAUUUGCUUUAAUUUUUAUAAAGACGUUUUUUAAUUAUUUCAAAUAAUGGCACCCAAACAACGAAUGCGCAUUGCAAACGAGAAGGCGAGCAAAAACGUCGUAAACCGUGGAAACGUACCAAAAUCAUCUAGGCCACAAGAAGACAGUUACCCAGUCGGUCCAUGGCUGCUCGCCCUUUUCAUUUUCGUCGUCUGCGGAUCGGCCGUAUUUCAAAUAAUCCAAUCGAUCCGUAUGUCGUAAAAGCUGUUACCUUCCAAGGAGUUAGCGAUUGUUGUUUUACUUUAAUUGAAUUACCUCUCUCUUAAGUCAAUUUUUGACGCUAACUCCCCACAACAUUCGUUGUUAUUAUUAUACUCGUAAAGAUAAUGUAGUUUUACAUUUUUUUAAAACGCGAAUUUAAGUGAAAACGUCUCACAGAUUGCAUUUACAUCAUCUUUCAAAUGAUACACAUUCCAGUCAUUGUAAUAAUUUUGUGUAACAUUUGUACAAAUUAAUAAUAUAUUAUUUGUUUGCACAUUUCCUCUUUAUUUUAGAUAACAUAUUAGUUGCGCGUAAUAGAUAAGAUAACUAAUACUGAAUGUAAAACACUUCAGGCUUGUUUGUAAAUUUGGCACGCUUCCUUCUGAUAUACAACGAUAAACGAGCCACACUUUGUCUUAAUAUACUUGUUCGUUUAAAAGAAACUUGUUUGAGAAUAGCUGCACUUUGCAUGUCAUUUAAUAUUCCAAUACAUGCCUCGGGAAUCAUUUCAACUGGUGAAAAUGGGUUGUUGUUAAACCACUUUAUCAUCAGGUCCAAAACGGUCACCUUCUCACGCGUGCUCAUCUACAACAUACACGUUACUUAUAGUAAAUUCAUCAAAAAAGAAACCUCGCAAGUCAUUUUCCUAAUUUCGCAUUCUUGUCUUGUUAACAAUAUCGGGCGGGCUUUUCUUUGACUUAACCAGGAGUAUUGCCCGCAUCUCUUUUCUUGUCGAAAUUUCAUUAACUCUUCCAGCUGUAAGUGAACUUAUUGUAAAUGGCUAGAAGGGGAAAUUCUUUACUUGCUUGCUGCAGGAACUGCGAGCUGUUCAUUUUGAAUGCCCGAAUGGUAUAAAUUCUCGCUUAGAAUAUUUAAGUGGUGCGCAAACAAGUGAUAGCGAGCUCAUAAAUAAUCGUAUCCCAAUAACAAGCAUUUUUGUUUUACGCUGAUGAGUUUUGUGCAUUAUUUGAUUAAGAUAAAUCAGGAUUCAUUUUAGUUUAUUGUUUGAUUAUGAUAUUUUCAACAUGUGCAUGCAUGAUUUUUGCUAAGAUUAGCCAGAAGUACUUUUGGUCUGUAGGUGCUUUCAAGAGCU
Molecule: long non-coding RNA, 1363 nt
Organism: Photinus pyralis (common eastern firefly)
Lineage: Eukaryota; Metazoa; Arthropoda; Insecta; Coleoptera; Lampyridae
Exons: 3
Source: RefSeq, a predicted model, not a curated record